CGAAACCUAGAAAGAGUAACAGUCUCCUCUUCGAUUACACCGCACCUCAUGUGAAACUCCUCAAAUCGUGCAAUGUAAUUGGCAACAGUUGAAGUUCCUUGAGUUAGUUUAUGCCAUCUAUCCAUAAGGCGUUGUCGGUAAGAGAAUGGCAGAUACUUCUCAUUCAGUUUUUCUUUCAUAUCCUCCCAGGUGGUGAUACGUGGAAGCCUCUGGGUCUCACGCCUAUGUUCAACGUUAUGCCAGUACCAGUGAGCUUGCCCAAUAAGCUUCAUUUUAGCAAACCGUACUUUUCUAUCAUCAGUCAUAUCAUACCACUCAAAAUAGUUAUCCAUGGCUGCUCUCCAAUCAAGGUACACGCUCGGCUCUAAUUGACCAGCAAAUGUGGGAGCAUCUACUCAGACGGUACGAAGUAGUCGCUCAUCAAGAUCGCGCUGGUGAUCAGGAGGAAGUUGGUUCCUAGGAGGAUGGGGAAAAGCUACAGGUGGUGUGGUCAAACCAAACUCGGGAUA
This 509-nucleotide long non-coding RNA is filed under the name Phoenix dactylifera (date palm). RNAcentral's name for it is "long non-coding RNA (PDAC_LNC005667)". Lineage: Eukaryota; Viridiplantae; Streptophyta; Magnoliopsida; Arecales; Arecaceae. The record is from RNAcentral.